RNAcentral lists this ribosomal RNA (492 nucleotides) under uncultured bacterium. Its description in RNAcentral is "partial 16S ribosomal RNA". It matches the Rfam family "Bacterial small subunit ribosomal RNA", at positions 29 to 507 of the family's 1533-position model. The record is from RNAcentral.
AAUGAACGCUGGCGGUAGGCCUAACACAUGCAAGUCGAACGGCAGCACAGUAAGAGCUUGCUCUUACGGGUGGCGAGUGGCGGACGGGUGAGGAAUACAGCGGAAUCUACUUUUUCGCGGGGGAUAACGUAGGAAAACUUACGCUAAUACCGCAUACGACCUACGUGUGAAAGCAGGAGAACUUCGGACCUUGCGCGAUUGAAUGAGCCGAUGUCGGAUUAGCUAGUUGGCGGGGUAAAGGCCCACCAAGGCGACGAUCCGUAGCUGGUCUGAGAGGAUGAUCGGCCACACUGGAACUGAGACACGGUCCAGACUCCUACGGGAGGCAGCAGUGGGGAAUCUUGGACAAUGGGCGCAAGCCUGAUGCAGCCAUGCCGCGUGAGUGAAGAAGGUCUUCGGGUUGUAAAGCCCUUUUGUUGGGAAAGAACAUCAGCAGGUUAAUCCCCCGCUGUUCUGACGGUACCCAAAGAAUAAGCACCGGCUAACUUCGUG